ACAUUCAUAACAUACGAUAACAUCAGGACCACCCCCUAGCAUCAGGGGGUUUAGCCUCUCAUAGUACUUAAAGAAUUCAUAAAGUAAAGAUUAGACAUUACAAAGAAUUAGGAGAAUUUGAUCUUCAAUGGUGGCUACCGUUGAAUCUCGCCGUCUUCGAAUCCGUUGUAUUUGCUAUCUUCUCCACGGUAAUGCUUUCGUUCGUC
Molecule: long non-coding RNA, 206 nt
Filed under: Lathyrus oleraceus (garden pea)
Lineage: Eukaryota; Viridiplantae; Streptophyta; Magnoliopsida; Fabales; Fabaceae
Description: Pisum sativum (pea) long non-coding RNA (PSAT_LNC039054)
Source: RNAcentral